Non-coding RNA from Ictidomys tridecemlineatus (thirteen-lined ground squirrel), 552 nucleotides. NCBI's taxonomy places the organism in Eukaryota, Metazoa, Chordata, Mammalia, Rodentia, Sciuridae. The record is from RefSeq and is a predicted model, not a curated record.
UCUUGGUUACCUAUUCUUCUUUCUUGGGUGGUGGUGGUAGUGGAGGGGGGGAAAGCUACAUUUCCCAGCCUCCUUUGCAGUUAGGUAUGGCUAUGUGACUGACAUCAGGUCAAUGGACUAAAGCCAGCAUGAUAGAAGAUCUGGCACAAUAUCAUUCUAUGCACCAUUCUCCAGACUCUUUCUGAUGAUCCAAAGGCUUAUGAGAUAGGAGGAGCCUGAGAUCCCAUAUCAUCAUCUAGAGGAGAGUCCUUUGCCAAUCAGAAACCUCAAUUUUGUGUAUGAGACUCAUCUGGGACGGUAUGACUAUGUCUCCACUCUACUCUUUAAGACUACUUAAAAAAAAAAAAGAAUGAACAUGGUAACUGAUGUCCCUACAAGAUCCAGCAACAGCAUCUGAAAAAGGUGACACUCUUCUCCCUUAAACACAUUCUUUCCUUGAUUUCUAGCCCAUGCUCACCAGGUUCUCCUUCAACAUCUCUAGCCACAACUCCUCAGGAUCCUUUGAUGGCUCUUCUUCAUCUCCCCAAUUUAUAAAGAUGGGAGUUCCUAGAA